This 2246-nucleotide small RNA is filed under the name Pongo abelii (Sumatran orangutan). RNAcentral describes it as "retained intron". Lineage: Eukaryota; Metazoa; Chordata; Mammalia; Primates; Hominidae. The record is from RNAcentral.
ACCGCCGAGACCGCGUCCGCCCCGCGAGCACAGACCCUCGCCUUUGCCGCUCCACCGCCCGUCCACACCCGCCGCCAGCUCACCAUGGAUGAUGAUAUCGCCGCGCUCGUCGUCGACAACGGCUCCGGCAUGUGCAAGGCCGGCUUCGCGGGCGACGAUGCCCCCCGGGCCGUCUUCCCCUCCAUCGUGGGGCGCCCCAGGCACCAGGGCGUGAUGGUGGGCAUGGGUCAGAAGGAUUCCUAUGUGGGCGACGAAGCCCAGAGCAAGAGAGGCAUCCUCACCCUGAAGUACCCCAUCGAGCACGGCAUCGUCACCAACUGGGAUGACAUGGAGAAGAUCUGGCACCACACCUUCUACAAUGAGCUGCGUGUGGCUCCCGAGGAGCACCCCGUGCUGCUGACCGAGGCCCCCCUGAACCCCAAGGCCAACCGCGAGAAGAUGACCCAGGUGAGUGGCCCGCUACCUCUUCUGGUGGCCGCCUCCUUCCUGUCCUCCGGAGCUGCGCCCUUUCUCACUGGUUCUCUCUUCUGCCGUUCUCCGUAGGACUCUCUUCUCUGACCCGAGUCUCCUUUGGAACUCUGCAGGUUCUAUUUGCUUUUUCCCAGAUGAGCUCUUUUUCUGGUGUUUGCCUCUCUGACUAGGUGUCUAAAACAGACAGUGCUGUGGGUGUAGGUACUAACACUGGCUCGUGUGACAAGCCCAUGAGGCUGGUGUAAAGCGGCCUUGGAGUGUGUAUUCAGUAGGCGCACAGUAGGUCUGAACAGACUCCCCAUCCCAAGACCCCAGCACACUUAGCCGUGUUCUUUGCACUUUCUGCAUGUCCCCUGUCUGGCCUGGCUAUCCCCAGUGGCUUCUCGAGUGUGACAUGGUGCAUCUCUGCCUUACAGAUCAUGUUUGAAACCUUCAACACCCCAGCCAUGUACGUGGCUAUCCAGGCUGUGCUGUCCCUGUACGCCUCUGGCCGUACCACUGGCAUCGUGAUGGACUCCGGUGACGGGGUCACCCACACUGUGCCCAUCUACGAGGGGUAUGCCCUCCCCCAUGCCAUCCUGCGUCUGGACCUGGCUGGCCGGGACCUGACUGACUACCUCAUGAAGAUCCUCACCGAGCGCGGCUACAGCUUCACCACCACGGCCGAGCGGGAAAUCGUGCGUGACAUUAAGGAGAAGCUGUGCUACGUCGCCCUGGACUUCGAGCAGGAGAUGGCCACGGCUGCUUCCAGCUCCUCCCUGGAGAAGAGCUACGAGCUGCCCGAUGGCCAGGUCAUCACCAUUGGCAACGAGCGGUUCCGCUGCCCCGAGGCGCUCUUCCAGCCUUCCUUCCUUGGCAUGGAGUCCUGUGGCAUUCACGAAACUACCUUCAACUCCAUCAUGAAGUGUGACGUGGACAUCCGCAAAGACCUGUACGCCAACACAGUGCUGUCUGGCGGCACCACCAUGUACCCUGGCAUUGCCGACAGGAUGCAGAAGGAGAUCACCGCCCUGGCACCCAGCACCAUGAAGAUCAAGAUCAUUGCUCCUCCUGAGCGCAAGUACUCCGUGUGGAUCGGCGGCUCCAUCCUGGCCUCGCUGUCCACCUUCCAGCAGAUGUGGAUCAGCAAGCAGGAGUAUGACGAGUCCGGCCCCUCCAUCGUCCACCGCAAAUGCUUCUAGGCGGACUGUGACUUAGUUGCGUUACACCCUUUCUUGACAAAACCUAACUUGCGCAGAAAACAAGAUGAGAUUGGCAUGGCUUUAUUUGUUUUUUUUUUUGUUUGUUUUGUUUUGGGUUUUUUUUUUGGCUUGACUCAGGAUUUAAAAACUGGAACGGUGAAGGUGACAGCAGUCGGUUGGAGCGAGCAUCCCCCAAAGUUCACAAUGUGGCCGAGGACUUUGAUUGCACAUUGUUCUUUUUUUAAUAGUCAUUCCAAAUAUGAGAUGCAUUGUUACAGGAAGUCCCUUGCCAUCCUAAAAGCCACCCCACUUCUCUCUAAGGAGAAUGGCCCAGUCCUCUCCCGAGUCCACACAGGGGAGGUGAUAGCAUUGCUUUCGUGUAAAUUAUGUAAUGCAAAAUUUUUUUAAUCUUCGCCUUAAUACUUUUUUAUUUUGUUUUAUUUUGAAUGAUGAGCCUUCGUGCCCCCCCUUCCCCCUUUUUUGUCCCCCAACUUAAGAUGUAUGAAGGCUUUUGGUCUCCCUGGGAGUGGGUGGAGGCAGCCAGGGCUUACCUGUACACUGACUUGAGACCAGUUGAAUAAAAAUGCACACCUU